This 27-nucleotide non-coding RNA is filed under the name Mus musculus (house mouse). Lineage: Eukaryota; Metazoa; Chordata; Mammalia; Rodentia; Muridae. The record is from RNAcentral.
UGAGGUUCCCACCAUACUCUGCACUGC